UACGUAGGGGGCAAGCGUUGUCCGGAAUCAUUGGGCGUAAAGCGCGUGUAGGCGGCCUCGUAAGUCCGCUCUGAAAGCCUGGGGCUCAACCCCAGGAGGCGGGUGGAUACUGCGAGGCUCGAGUACGGAAGAGGCGAGUGGAAUUCCCGGUGUAGCGGUGAAAUGCGCAGAUAUCGGGAGGAACACCAAUGGCGAAGGCAGCUCGCUGGGACGUUACUGACGCUGAGGAGCGAAAGCAUGGGGAGCGAACAGG
RNAcentral lists this ribosomal RNA (253 nucleotides) under uncultured bacterium. Its description in RNAcentral is "partial 16S ribosomal RNA". It matches the Rfam family "Bacterial small subunit ribosomal RNA", at positions 524 to 776 of the family's 1533-position model. The record is from RNAcentral.